Long non-coding RNA from Pecten maximus, 892 nucleotides. RefSeq lists it as uncharacterized. The record is from RefSeq and is a predicted model, not a curated record. Lineage: Eukaryota; Metazoa; Mollusca; Bivalvia; Pectinida; Pectinidae. The transcript is spliced from 3 exons.
CAUGCGCGAUGCGGGAAAUUGGAAACAUCAUAACAAAAAUGGCGAACACCCGAUCUAAGUGGAAGGGUUCUGAAUCAGUUUUAACCGAGAGCAUGAAGAAACGAAUAAUCGAGAACGUGAUUUUAACUUCACAAAGACGAACACGUAUCUUAGAGACAGAGCAAGCAGAUGGCAUCAGUUAAAAAAGACCGAAGGGAUUAAAACAGACCCUCCUUUGGCCAAGCUAAUGCCUUGAACAGUUUUGAAAGCAAGCCUGAGAUCUAGAGCGUACGUAGAUCUGGUCAUAAAGAAACUGCAUGAAGCCAAUGAAUUCGAAGAUGACCACAGGCGACAUGGAGUCCAGCCACUACGGACGACACGAUUACUAGUCGCACUUAGAUAUCACAGGAUUUAUAACACAAAAGUUCUUGGAGGACAAUAGUGCCGUACAAGAUGGAAAGGACAUACCAACACAUCCAGGGACUCGUCAAUCUGAUAGUGGCCAACAGAAUAAUGGAUAGAACUGGAAUAUCUAGCCAAAACCCUUGCAUCAAAUAGAUCCCAGAAGAUUCAAACUCCUAGCCCAUGCUCCUCCACCAUCUACUGCCCAAAUGGUAGAGGAGAAGAAAUCCCAAUUAAGAUGAAUGGGAAUAAUUGACAUUUUGACACUAAUCACGUUCCAGAGACUAUUACUUUUGAAUAUCUGUCCUUACGUUUAGUAGCUGACCUGGUCCGAAGGACCAAGGUGAGUAUGCCAUACUGAGGCGUCCGGCAUUCGUCUGUCAACAUUGUGAACACAAUAUUUGAAUAACUUGAGUAAAUGUCAGAAUAUACCAAAUUUGAUAAAACUUUAUACGCAGCCAUAUAUCGACAAGAUCUCAGACAACUUCAAAAAUAGAAAUUAUUGGACAGU